UGUGUGGAAGGGAGGCCGGCUCUGAGCUGUGUCUCUGUAGCUGGGAAGAGACAGCAUUGGGGCGGGGCAGAGGUGACUCUCGGCAAGAAGGUGACGCUCCAGCAGGCUGUGACAAUGGGAAGGCGGAAGGUGGCCUUGGAGUGACACAGGGUGGCUCAGGCAUCAAAGGGGGGAGUGUGGCAGUCGUGACACUGAAUGUGGGGUUUGCCCGGCAGGUUGUGGGGAGCCCCAGGGAGCUUCUGAGCUGAGGUACGGUGUGAUCCGAGCGGUGCAUUAGCAGAUGACUGGGGGGCUGCAGGGCUGAGGGGAGCACAGAGAGAGGCUCCCCGGCUCUCCCGACCGCUUCCCGUGUCUGAGGACUCCACGGUCAGGAGCUCCUUCCUUCUGCACAUUGCCGCCAUGGACCUCUGACCUCUGCGGUGAAGUUCUUUUUUUUUUUUUUUUUUUUUUUUUCCGUUUUUCUCCGGUACCGGGAACCGAACUCACGACCUUGCGCUUGCCAGGCAGGCGCUUUGCCGCUGAGCUAAAUCCCCAGCCCCUGCGGUGAAGUUCUUACAUGCACCUUUUCAUCCAGUCCCCAGCAUCUGCGAGUUCGAUUGUGUGGACGGGGUGAUUCGCUCUCUUCAAGGACUCUGGCCUGGCCUGGUGGCACGCGCUCACUGUCCCGGCUUCCCCGGCGGAGCGUCAAGUCCCUUUCUCUGCCCGCUCUGUGUCCUCCCUUCUUUGCUGUACGCCGGCCUGCGCUGGUCCUGGCCCAGAGGAAGGAGCUGGCCCGCCGCGUGGACGCUGGAAUACAGGAACUCGGCUCUUCCGCAAGUAGCAUCUACGAUGCCAGUCUCAGCAACCUCAUUUAAAAAACUAUUUAUAUGCACAAAAAGUCUAUAAUAGCGUUUUUAUUGUGUGUGCCUGAGAUUUGGGUGCAUUUCCCCCCACGCCU
This 937-nucleotide long non-coding RNA is filed under the name Chinchilla lanigera (long-tailed chinchilla). RNAcentral's name for it is "lncRNA (ENSCLAG00000024984.1)". The record is from RNAcentral. Lineage: Eukaryota; Metazoa; Chordata; Mammalia; Rodentia; Chinchillidae.